Molecule: ribosomal RNA, 2730 nt
Filed under: Triticum aestivum (bread wheat)
Lineage: Eukaryota; Viridiplantae; Streptophyta; Magnoliopsida; Poales; Poaceae
Description: partial small subunit ribosomal RNA
Source: RNAcentral
AUGAGUGGCAUGGUCUUGGAAAAUAUCAAGGGUGAUGUUGAGCUAAAGGAUGUGUACUUUCGCUACCCUGCAAGACCCGGGCAGUUAAUAUUAGAUGGAUUAUCAUUACAAGUAGCCAGUGGAACAACAAUGGCCAUAGUUGGAGAGAGUGGAAGUGGCAAGUCAACUGUUAUCAGCCUAGUUGAAAGAUUCUAUGAUCCACAGGCUGGCGAAGUUUUGAUAGAUGGAGUCAACAUCAAGAAUCUGAGUCUUGAUUGGAUAAGAGGGAAGAUCGGCCUUGUUAGCCAAGAACCAUUGUUGUUUAUGACCUCCAUUAAAGAUAACAUAAUCUAUGGUAAAGAAAAUGCAACACUUGAAGAGAUCAAGAGAUCAGCCGAGCUUGCAAAUGCCGCAAACUUCAUCGACAAGUUACCAAAUGGCUAUGACACAUUGGUUGGCCAAUGUGGCACUCUACUUUCUGGAGGACAAAAGCAAAGAAUUGCAAUUGCGAGAGCUAUCCUUAAAGAUCCAAAAAUCCUUUUGCUAGAUGAAGCAACAAGUGCAUUGGAUGUGGAAUCUGAGAGGAUAGUUCAGGAGGCAAUCAAUAGGAUAUUGGUGGAAAGAACCACACUUGUCGUUGCACAUCGUUUGAGCACUGUAAGGAAUGUUGACUGCAUCACAGUCGUUCAUCAAGGGAAAAUAGUCGAACAAGGUCCUCAUCAUGCAUUGGUAAAGGAUCCCAAUGGAGCUUACUCCCAGCUUAUUAGGCUACAAGAAACUCGUGGUGAUGAAAGACGUAAAAUACAGGAUUCAGAAGUGCCCAAUUCCUCAUCAAAAAGCACUAGUUUGUCGGUUAGACGGUCAAUGACUAAUGUUUCUUUUGACAAUAGCAACAGACACUCCUUCAAGAACACAUUAGGACUACCAGUUGAGUUGCAUGAGGAUGCAAUCACAGGUGAACAGAACAAUGAGGACCUUCCCGAUGGGAAGACCCUUCAGAAAGAAGCAGUUGGACGCCUUUUUUAUCUUAACAAGCCAGAGGUACCAUUUCUUCUGCUCGGCGCUAUAGCAGCAUCAGUGCAUGGAGUCAUUUUGCCAUUGUACGGCCUACUAAUGACUGGCAGCAUAAAAUCAUUCUACGAGCCACCAGAUAAGCUGCGAAAAGAUUCUAGCUUUUGGGCGUUGAUAUUUGUAGUUCUGGGGAUUGCAUCUUUCAUUGCAAGCACAGCAGAAUAUCUUUUGUUUGGAAUUGCUGGUGGCAAGCUUAUAGAGCGUGUUCGUACUCUGUCAUUUCAAAAUAUUGUGCAUCAGGAAGUUGCUUGGUUUGAUAAUCCCUCAAAUUCCAGUGGUGCACUUGGUACACGACUCUCAGUUGACGCAUUAAAUGUUCGGCGCUUAGUAGGAGAUAACCUCGGCCUUAUAGUGCAGUCUACAGCUUCACUAAUAGCUGGCUUUGUCAUAGCUUUUAAGGCAGACUGGAGGCUUGCACUGAUUAUCACUUGUGUCAUUCCUUUAUUGGGUGCACAGGGUUAUGCUCAAGCGAAGUUCUUGAAGGGGUUUGGUGAAGAAGCUAAGGAGAUGUAUGAAGAUGCAAGUCAAGUUGCAACUGACGCUGUUAGUAGUAUCAGAACUAUAGCAUCUUUCUGUGCAGAGAAAAGAGUGGUUACAACAUAUAACAAGAAAUGUGAAGCUUUAAGGAAACAGGGAAUUCAAAGUGGAAUCGUUGGAGGUCUUGGUUUUGGUUUCUCAUUCAUGGUGUUGUAUUUUACGAUUGCUUUAUGCUUCUAUGUUGGUGCACAGUUUGUACGUCAGGGAAAAGCUACUUUUGCAGACGUUUCCAAAGUUUUCUUUGCCUUGGUUUUUGCAACUGUUGGGGUUUCAAACGCAAGUGCAUUGGCCUCUAAUGCGACAAAAGCAAAGGAUUCAGCCAUUUCUGUUUUCAGUAUUCUAGAUCGGAAGUCAAAAAUCAAUACAAGUAGCGAUGAGGGUAUGAUGCUGGAAAAUGUCACUAGCGACAUUGAAUUCAGUAAUGUCAGUUUCAAGUACCCAUCACGCCCUGAUGUCCAAAUAUUCAGUGACUUUACUUUGCACAUUCCUUCAAGAAAGACCAUAGCACUAGUUGGAGAGAGUGGUAGUGGAAAGUCCACAAUAAUUUCUUUACUGGAGCGUUUCUAUGAUCCUGAUUCUGGUAGUAUCUCAGUAGAUGGAGUCGAGAUUAAGAGCUUGAGAAUUAGCUGGUUAAGGGAUCAGAUGGGGCUGGUAGCCCAGGAGCCAGUUCUUUUCAACGACACAAUCCGUGCAAACAUAACAUACGGGAAACACGGGGAGGUGACAGAGGAAGAGGUUACGGGUGUGGCCAAGGCAGCAAAUGCUCAUGAGUUUAUAUCGAGCUUGCCACUGGGAUACGACACUCUGGUUGGCGAGAAAGGAGUGCAGCUAUCUGGUGGACAGAAGCAGCGGGUAGCCAUCGCAAGGGCCAUUAUAAAGGACCCGAAGAUACUACUGCUUGACGAGGCGACCAGCGCCCUGGACGCGGAAUCGGAGCGCAUCGUUCAGGACGCAUUGGAUCGAGUCAUGGUGAGCAGGACCACCAUAGUGGUGGCGCACCGCCUCUCCACAAUCAAAGGGGCUGAUGCGAUUGCGGUCCUCAAAGAAGGCAAAAUUGCAGAAAAGGGAAAUCAUGAGGCCCUGAUGCGGAUCAAGGAUGGAGUCUAUGCUUCGCUAGUAGAACUUCGCUCAAAUUCCAAGUAG